Molecule: unclassified non-coding RNA, 1476 nt
Filed under: Centruroides sculpturatus (bark scorpion)
Lineage: Eukaryota; Metazoa; Arthropoda; Arachnida; Scorpiones; Buthidae
Description: wAS/WASL-interacting protein family member 3-like, transcript variant X1
Source: RNAcentral
GCCAUCUAAAGUCGGACUUUGGUUUUAGUCGAUUUUUUCAUUUUGUAUCGGGCGGAUUUCGACAGUGGCGUAGACUUCGUUUUUGGCAAUUGUUUGUCGUCGUCCGAUGGAAACCGGGAAAGAAUAGUUUUUCGGAUGCGCCUUUCGACCGGUCCAGCCAAUUGGCCUUUUCUCCAGCUUUGUUUUAGAAAAUCAAUGUAGGAUGUAUCACCAGUCAUCUUUAUCACAUCCACCACCACCACCUCCAACACUUCCACCUUUACCAACUAAUAAUAAUUCAGUUUCUAAAGGAAAAGCUAUUACACCAGAUAGAAAUGCUCUAUUAUCUCAAAUUAGAGGUGGAAAAACAUUGAAAAAAACAGUUACAAAUGAUCGAAGUGCUCCUCAAAUAAAGAAUGCCAAAUCAUCUGAAGAAACUAAAACUACAAAUAAUAAGGUUUCAUUACAAAAUGAUCUUUUAGGUCUUGGAUCAGUAUUUGCUCAAGGGAAACCAAAACUUCGACCUUCUUUUAAAUCAGAUAAAUCAAGUGCAGAAAAUACAGAAAUGAAACAAGACAAGAUGUUACAUCCAAUUCCUAAUUUAUCAAAAAAUGCUUCUUCAUUGUCUUCUAAUAAAUUUCAAGCUGGUAAAUUAAAUGUAAAUGGUUCAUAUCAAACAAAUAAAUGUAACACGAUAAAUUAUCCUGUAAAAGUAACAAAACCUACACCACCACCAGCAAGUUUAAAACCAAGUUUUAAUGUAACUUCUACAUCCGAAAUUUCUGAAAUCAACAAAACUACAAGUAAAUCUACAAGCAAUAUUAAACCAUUACCACCACCUAAAGUUUUGGAAAAUCCGUCAUUGAAAUUUGCUACUAUGCAUCAGCAAGUAAGUAAAAUAGACAAAAUACAUCUUGGUGUUGCUUCUCCAAAAUUGCCUGUUCGUAAUCAUAGUUCACCAGAUAAUUUAAAUGAAUUAGUAAAAUCAAGUUUAUCUACAAAUAAUGCUAUAAAUAUAUCAUCUGUGAAAAGAUCAACUUCUGUAGGAUCAAGACAACAGUCUCAAAUUAAAGCUCCAAAUUAUCGACCUCCACCACCUCCACCACCUGCUAAGACUUCUCCAUCUGUAAUUUCUUCUGUGCCACCACCUGCUAAGAUGUCUCCAUGUUUAAUUUCUUCUGUGCCACCACCUAUACCUAAACGUUCAGUUGCAACACUUUCUAAUUUGAAUCCAGCUGUUGUAAAUAAUAAUCCGCCACCUCCACCGCCACUACGUACCACAUCAAAGAAUUAUAUAACAGGACAUGUUGUAGUGAAGAUUAGGUAAAUUGGCAGAGUAGGACUGGAAGCUAAUUGAGAAAGAGGAGACUGUCCCCAAAAAGAAAGUUAAGUGAUAAAUAGAUUUUGAAACCCGUUUUAAUACCAACUUUCACAAGAUACAAGAAUUUCCUCUUCCUCAAUAUCAACAGACUUUUUGUAAAUUAUAUAUAAGUCAAG